This 420-nucleotide ribosomal RNA is filed under the name uncultured bacterium. Its description in RNAcentral is "bacterial SSU rRNA". It matches the Rfam family "Bacterial small subunit ribosomal RNA", at positions 30 to 452 of the family's 1533-position model. The record is from RNAcentral.
AUUGAACGCUGGCGGCAUGCCUUACACAUGCAAGUCGAACGGCAGCACGGGAGCAAUCCUGGUGGCGAGUGGCGAACGGGUGAGUAAUAUAUCGGAACGUGCCCGGUCGUGGGGAUAACGUAGCGAAAGCUACGCUAAUACCGCAUACGAUCUACGGAUGAAAGCGGGGGAUCGCAAGACCUCGCGCGAUUGGAGCGGCCGAUAUCAGAUUAGGUAGUUGGUGAGGUAAAGGCUCACCAAGCCGACGAUCUGUAGCUGGUCUGAGAGGACGACCAGCCACACUGGGACUGAGACACGGCCCAGACUCCUACGGGAGGCAGCAGUGGGGAAUUUUGGACAAUGGGCGCAAGCCUGAUCCAGCAAUGCCGCGUGCAGGAUGAAGGCCUUCGGGUUGUAACUGCUUUGUACGGUAACGAAAGG